UUGUUUUUAAGGAGGAUUAUAUGUAAUACCCCAAAUUUUUAAAGAUUAUUUUAUUAUUUAUUAAGGUUUAAUAUUAUUUCCACUUAAAAUUAUUUUUUGAUAAUGCGAUUUUAUUUGAUAACUAUGUUUAUUAAAAUAAUGAAUUCAUUUAGUUUUGCUUUAUUUGACAAGUUUCAAUUAAAUCAUUAACUUGUGUUAUUAUUCAUUUCAUUAUUUCUAAUUAAUCACACUCCUUAAAUUUGUUUGUUGGUACCUUUGUUCGUGUUGUCCAUCCACAUUAGUAAUCCAAAGCCCAAAUAUUAGUCCAUAGUCCAUAUGUAUUUUGCCAAAAAGAAAAGGGAAAAAAAAAGAAAGAAGAUGAAAAUGUGAUUCUCAUCAUCUUCCUCCCUCUUCUUCAUCUGAAUUGCAAUAGCUCACAAGGACCAAUUUUGUCAACAAUUUACAACUCUUGUCAGUAGAGUUGAUCUUCAGUCCACAAAAUCAGAUUUUAGGGGGUAAAAGUUUCAAAAGCUACACCAUAGCCUCACUUCCAGCAUUAAUGGAGCUUGACUAAGCUCCACAAGUUCAGAAAAUUUUCUCUAUAAAUAGCAACCCAAACACAUUCAAUUGCUCAAGCAAACAAGUUAAACUUCAAAGACUCCGAUUUUGUAGACGAGGAAUAUCAAGAGAGCUAAUCCGUUCGAUGAACUUAACUUUUGGGCACGCGUCACGAGGUCAUCUCCGAUGUCCAUCCAAACAUAGAUCCCGUGGGUGAUCGAUCGGGGGAACAAAAGGGAUAUCAUUUAGAGUGUCAUCUACUUAGCAUAUGAUUAGCUUCCGUUGAAACUCUGAAACAUUUAAAUAAUUAGUAAUGUUUAACGAACGAUUUACUUAGUUGUAAUGAUUAAUGAAUUUGAGUUUA
Molecule: long non-coding RNA, 901 nt
Organism: Beta vulgaris subsp. vulgaris (sugar beet)
Lineage: Eukaryota; Viridiplantae; Streptophyta; Magnoliopsida; Caryophyllales; Amaranthaceae
Exons: 3
Source: RefSeq, a predicted model, not a curated record